RNAcentral lists this transfer RNA (74 nucleotides) under Slackia heliotrinireducens DSM 20476. It matches the Rfam family "tRNA". From Rfam's summary of the family: Transfer RNA (tRNA) molecules are approximately 80 nucleotides in length. Their secondary structure includes four short double-helical elements and three loops (D, anti-codon, and T loops). Lineage: Bacteria; Bacillati; Actinomycetota; Coriobacteriia; Eggerthellales; Eggerthellaceae. The record is from Rfam by way of RNAcentral.
CGGGACGUGGCGCAGUUUGGUAGCGCGCUUGCUUUGGGAGCAAGAUGUCGCAGGUUCGAAUCCUGUCGUCCCGA